Molecule: long non-coding RNA, 990 nt
Filed under: Monodelphis domestica (gray short-tailed opossum)
Lineage: Eukaryota; Metazoa; Chordata; Mammalia; Didelphimorphia; Didelphidae
Description: lncRNA (ENSMODG00000031095.2)
Source: RNAcentral
AUAAAAUGAAGGGUCUGCACCAGAAAAAGAAAUCAUUUUUAAGCUCUAUGAUAAGGGUUCUAGGUGGCAUAGUGGAUGUAGCCCUUAACACAGAGUCAGGAACAUGAGGCUGAAUCCCACGACAGAUGUUAACAAUAUGUAUCUGGGAAAAUCAUGACCUCUGUCAGUCUCAACUUCCUUAUCUGUAAACCGGGAAUACAAACAACCUUCCUCACUUGUUGUAAGGAUUAAAUGAGAUAAUAGAUGUAUGACACUUUGCAAACCUUAAGGUGAUGUUUAAAAUUUAGUUACUAUUAUUACACUGAGUGUUAUUGAGUUCAUUGGUUGCAAUGAAAAGCAACAUUAAAACUGAAUAGACUUCACUCAUUCCUUAAAUGCUCUAGUAAGUAGUAAAGGCAAAUCUUCAUUUUCCAGACUUGCACAAAAUGUCCAUUGAAUAUUUUGAAUUUGAUAUACCACUGGUGUCUUCAAUUCGAUAUGUCUAAAACAAAAUUCAGUUUCUUUCUCUCCAAAUCUACCUGUCUUCCAAAUUUCCCUAUCAAUCCCAGAGUCCUGCUCAACUCUUCACUCUCAUUUCAGUAACCAAUCAGUUACAAAAUCUUGUUAUUUCUACCUGCACAGGACUUCCGGGUAAACAUAGCUGCAAUCUAGACGCAAAUCACUUUCUCUCCCAGGCACCAAGAGAAAUAGACUACCUUAAAAAGCAUAAAAAUAACCUUUGGAAGAGAGGAGGGACUCUCCAGUACCCCCACAGAAAUGAAGUUGCUAACUUGGGAGACAGGAAGCUAAGAUCUGGAUUUGUUUGCAUCCUCUCUUGGGAUCUUAAAAGCUGUGUCAUCCUGGGCAAGUCACUUUUUGUGUUUUCAGUUUCUGCAUCUGUAAAAAUGGAGAUAUUAAAAGCACCUAUCCUUCAGAGUCAUUGUAAAAAGUGAAUGUAAAGAAUUCUAUAAAUUUUAAAGUGCACUAAAUAAAUGCUAGCUGCCAUCAUCA